This 253-nucleotide ribosomal RNA is filed under the name uncultured bacterium. Its description in RNAcentral is "partial 16S ribosomal RNA". It matches the Rfam family "Bacterial small subunit ribosomal RNA", at positions 524 to 776 of the family's 1533-position model. The record is from RNAcentral.
UACGAAGGGGGCUAGCGUUGCUCGGAAUCACUGGGCGUAAAGCGCACGUAGGCGGCUUUCUAAGUCAGGGGUGAAAUCCUGGAGCUCAACUCCAGAACUGCCUUUGAUACUGAGGAUCUUGAGUUCGGGAGAGGUGAGUGGAACUGCGAGUGUAGAGGUGAAAUUCGUAGAUAUUCGCAAGAACACCAGUGGCGAAGGCGGCUCACUGGCCCGGUACUGACGCUGAGGUGCGAAAGCGUGGGGAGCAAACAGG